This 980-nucleotide long non-coding RNA is filed under the name Homo sapiens (human). Its description in RNAcentral is "non-protein coding lnc-ZNF583-4:8". Lineage: Eukaryota; Metazoa; Chordata; Mammalia; Primates; Hominidae. The record is from RNAcentral.
GUCGAGGCCCUACGGGGCGUCAAUACGCACGCGUACUUUGUGUCCCAGGUAGCUCGUCUCUUAGCCAUGUACGCCUCUGCAUUCCGGUCACUGGGAGCGGGGCCGUGGGGGCUGCACAUGCGCACUGCGAGUCCUCGCCUACUCCCAGAAACCACCCGGGCGCAUACGCGGUGCGGCCGCUGCUUCAGGUCGGCGGGCUCCAGGGAGACCUGGGUGGGCAGCGUCGCCGUUUCUCCUUUCUUGGGCAGUAUUUUUCCCAGCGCCACGCGGAGGCUGGGCCAUUAUGAGCUCUGCAUUUCCAGGACCUGGUCACUAUUCAGGACACGGUUCCAGCGCAGUGCGCGUUAGCCAUGUCUCAGCUCCAGACUGAGAGGACGCAGCAUAGAAAAUGCUUAUGAGUGGUUCAGACUCAGUAAUGGGAUGAGUGACAUUCCAAGAUGUGGCCAUUGACUUCUCCAAGGAAGAGUGGGGAUUCCUGAACCCUGCUCAGAGAGAUUUGUACACAACUGUGAUGCUGGAGAAUUAUCAGAACCUGGUCUGGCUGGGACUUUCCAUUUCUAAAUCUGUGAUUUCACUGUUGGAGAAAAGGAAACUGCCUUGGAUAAUGGCAAAAGAAGAGAUAAGAGGCCCAUUGCCAGAUGUGCCAGGUGCAGAGAUUAAGGAGUUAUCUGCAAAGAGGGCUAUUAAUGAAGUAUUAUCGCAGUUUGACACAGUGAUAAAAUGUACAAGAAACGUAUGUAAGGAAUGUGGAAAUCUAUACUGCCACAAUAUGCAGCUUACUCUCCAUAAGAGAAAUCAUACACAAAAGAAAUGCAAUCAGUGUUUAGAUUGUGGGAAAUACUUCACUCGUCAAUCAACUCUCAUUCAGCAUCAAAGAAUCCACACGGGAGAGAGACCCUAUAAAUGUAACGAAUGUAUUAAAACCUUCAACCAGAGGGCACACCUUACCUAGCAUGAGAGAAUUCACACUGGUGAGAAAC